AUAUCCAAACCAAAUCGGCCUAGCAUUAGCAGGUCCAUUAAAUAGACCAGGCCCAAUCGGCCUAGUGACCCCAUCAUUAGCAGUCCUAGGCGCAUUGUACAUCUUAUGCCCAACGCCGUAUUGAAACUUUAACCCAGCAUAGGGCCCACCGUAAGUUCCGUCAGUACCCUGUAAAAUAGGUUUAGAAACCCUAUUAUGUCGAGACAAAGAGGGCGCAACAAACGGCCAAAAAUUUCCUCCCACAAAAGUAUCCUGCAGCUCCGCCGAGGCAGAACCAUGAAGCAUACCAGAGACCGACGACGAAAACGACACACCAGGACCAUGACAAGGGGCCAGAUUCGACGGUUGAACAACCAACGAUGGGCGUUGAUACUCACGGUUAUAACAAAAAAACACCUCUGGGCUAAAUGCCCGAACUGUCCGCAGAUCUGACACUGUAUGCGGGAUCGAAACCUUUUCAUGCGGCCUCCAGACGAGGGACGAUCACCACGAAUAGAGCCCACCAAAGCCAACGACGGAACGAUUUCCAAAAUAUUGGCAUAAAGAGGCAUGUCUUAUACCGUAUGCACCUGGCGACUCUCAUUCUCGAGUAACACGUCGAUGAGACAUUGAAGCAGCAGAGGCUCCGACGAGAACGACGCUAAGGUAAGUACGGCAUCGAACUCUGGAGUAAGCCCGCAAGCAUUAUUUCUACCUUAUUUGCCUCUGAGAUCUAAGAUCCGGAAGCCUCUUUUGAUGCACUUGUGUUUUGAAUCUUCGCUAUAUACUCUUUGACUGAGAGGCUCCAUUUUUUAAUUAAGUGAAGAUCAUGACGAAGACGAGAAAGCUUCGUACUUGUAACGACAACAAAGAGAUGAGUAGCGGUGUUCCACACAUCACACGCCGUUCGAGCCUCUAUAAAAGAAGAUAGAAGCGAGGGAUUAACUGUGGAAAGUAACUAGGAAACAAGUAACCUGUCUUGUUGAACAAACGCUGAAGCAUCUGGAUUCGGAACGAGCGAGCCCUCCGGAGACUGCACAAAGCGCAGUGGAGCAAGUAACGUUCCAUCCAAAAAACCAGUUAGCUCGUAUCCUUCGACAUCAACCAAACAUGCUGCUGCCAUAGAACGAAAGUGCCGUCAUCCAACUUGACAGUCUCAUGGCGAGGAAACGAGUGAACGAGCCUAGCACUAGUGAACAUCGGAUAUCCAUGUUCGACGGAGGUAGAAUCAGCAGAAGCUAUGGUGGUCAUGGAAACAAACUAAGAGCAGGUCUCCAGCACCUUAGGCGACUGAUACCAUGUUAACAC
This 1287-nucleotide long non-coding RNA is filed under the name Gossypium barbadense (sea-island cotton). RNAcentral's name for it is "long non-coding RNA (GBAR_LNC015268)". Lineage: Eukaryota; Viridiplantae; Streptophyta; Magnoliopsida; Malvales; Malvaceae. The record is from RNAcentral.